UUGGCUCAGGAUGAACGCUGGCGGCAGGCUUAACACAUGCAAGUCGAGGGGCAGCGCGGGAGUAGCAAUACUUCUGGCGGCGACCGGCGGAAGGGUGCGUAACGCGUGAGCAACAUGCCCGUGGCAGGGGGAUAAGCGAUGGAAACGUCGUCUAAGACCCCGUAACAACAGACCUCGCAUGGGGUUUGUUUGAAAGCUUCGGCGGCCACGGAUUGGCUCGCGUCCCAUUAGGCAGUUGGCGGGGUAACGGCCCACCAAACCGACGAUGGGUAGGGGUUCUGAGAGGAAGGUCCCCCACAAUGGAACUGAGACACGGUCCAUACUCCUACGGGAGGCAGCAGUGGGGAAUA
RNAcentral lists this ribosomal RNA (350 nucleotides) under uncultured rumen bacterium. RNAcentral describes it as "bacterial SSU rRNA". It matches the Rfam family "Bacterial small subunit ribosomal RNA", at positions 19 to 363 of the family's 1533-position model. The record is from RNAcentral.